CUCUCUCUCUCUCCCUCUCCGCGUCUUCUCCCUUUCUCCUCCCCUGUGUUUCGACGACAAAACCCCCCAGCCACUGUCACGUCGGCCACCCAGCCACCGGACCGGUCAAGUUUUGACCGGCGUCGCACCCCAAGCCAGCUCCGACCUUCCUCCUACCUCUGCUGCUGCUGUUUUGCCGGAAAACCCCGGUUUUGAUCGGAUUUUUACUUGGUUUUCCAAUCCCUCGAUCUCUCUCCUUCGGCCCCCAAAUCCUUCGAUUGAGGCUUUUACGCUGCAGUCUUGGAGAAAGAUGAUGUGUUGAUAUCUGUAGCAUCAAUCAGUGAAUAAGGGGCAACGAAGUUGG
This is a non-coding RNA of Prunus avium (sweet cherry), 343 nucleotides long. Lineage: Eukaryota; Viridiplantae; Streptophyta; Magnoliopsida; Rosales; Rosaceae. The record is from RefSeq and is a predicted model, not a curated record.